GACGAACGCUGGCGGCGUGCUUAACACAUGCCAGUCGAACGGAAAGGCCCGGCUUUUGUGGGGUGCUCGAGUGGCGAACGGGUGAGUAACACGUGAGUAACCUGCCCUUGACUUUGGGAUAACUUCAGGAAACUGGGGCUAAUACCGGAUAGGAGCUCCUGCUGCAUGGUGGGGGUUGGAAAGUUUCGGCGGUUGGGGCUGGACUCGCGGCGUAUCAGCUUGCUGGUGGGGUAGUGGCUUACCAAGGCUUUGACGGGUAGCCGGCCUGAGAGGGUGAACGGCCACAUUGGGCCUGCGGUAGGGCCCAGAAUCCUACGGGAGGCAGCAGUGGGGAAUAUUGCGCAAUGGGCGGAAGCGUGAUGCAGAGACGCCGCGUGCGGAAUGACGGCCUUCGGGUUGUAAACCGCUUUCGCCUGAGACGAAGCGUGAGUGACGGUAAUGGGUAAAGAAGCCCCGGCUAACUACGUG
RNAcentral lists this ribosomal RNA (468 nucleotides) under uncultured bacterium. RNAcentral describes it as "partial 16S ribosomal RNA". It matches the Rfam family "Bacterial small subunit ribosomal RNA", at positions 28 to 507 of the family's 1533-position model. The record is from RNAcentral.